Molecule: ribosomal RNA, 301 nt
Filed under: uncultured bacterium
Lineage: Bacteria
Description: partial 16S ribosomal RNA
Rfam family: Bacterial small subunit ribosomal RNA
Source: RNAcentral
CAGCCGCCACGGUAAUACGUAGGUGGCAAGCGUUGUCCGGAAUUAUUGGGCGUAAAGGGCUCGCAGGCGGUUUCUUAAGUCUGAUGUGAAAGCCCCCGGCUCAACCGGGGAGGGUCAUUGGAAACUGGGAAACUUGAGUGCAGAAGAGGAGAGUGGAAUUCCACGUGUAGCGGUGAAAUGCGUAGAGAUGUGGAGGAACACCAGUGGCGAAGGCGACUCUCUGGUCUGUAACUGACGCUGAGGAGCGAAAGCGUGGGGAGCGAAUAGGAUUAGAUACCCGCGUAGUCCCUGUCUCUUAUAC